GAUUGCUUAGAAUAUUUAUGACAAAUGAAUUAAUGUUAGUUUUCAAAGUUAUAAAAAUUGUGAUACUUUUGUAAUCAUGUGUAUCAUUAGAUGUUAUUUCUAAUUUAUAUAUUUGGCAAGCUUAUAAUGAUGUGUGGCAUAUAUGUAUAGUAAAUAUGAAGGAGAUAAGACCCUAUCUUUGAAAAUAAUUUUGGUAGUAACUAAAAGAGGGUUUUGAAGAAAGUAAAUGGGCACAUGGGCGUGUGAUUAUAAGCCUUUGACAAAGUCUUUUAUUUUAUUUUACUUUUCUCUCCAAUUAGUUAGAUUGAUCUUGCUUGGGUGGGACGUUUGCUUACAUGAAGGAGCAACUUUAUAGCUUUGGCCCACUUGACCGAGUAGUGUAUUACACGUGGGAGUCUAAGAGAGUUCUCCUCUCAACAAACUAUUUGAAGACUAUGUAUAUCAAUUUACUUGACCGAGUAGCAAGGAAGUUUUAAGGAGUAUGAAGUUUGAAAUUAGUUUUAAGUUGUUGAGUUAAUUGUGGUAGCGGACCAUUCUCAUGACAUGGGUGUAGUGGACUGUGAUCUUAGAGCCUAUAAAUAUAUCUUUAUUUCUCACUCACAAAGACCAAGCUCUCAAGUUACCCUCAUAAUCUCUCGUCCCAAGGUUUCUUUAAUACUGAAGAUAUCAUUCUCAUUUUCUUAGUCACUAUCAUUCUCAAGUUACCCUCAUAAUCUCUCGUCCCAAGGUUUCUUUAAUACUGAAGCUAUCAUUCUCAUUUUCUUAGUCACUAUCAUCCACACCACAAAUAUAUUACCAUAUUGUCUCCAUCUCACUUGUUGAUACAUAGUUUGCCUUUAUAUUUCUUAAGUCUUAACCACAUAUUUCCUCAAGUUUUAUUCAUUCAUUUCUCCAAGCCAUUACCAUACUACCAUCGCCUCUCUUAUACAUAUCUACACAUAUAUAUAGGGUUCAUCACAUCCUUCAUUAUUUCGACGUCACUAUCUCCAUCAAGUUCUAGUGCUCUACUAGAUUUAUUAGGAACUAAGGUCUUUGCGUAAGACAAUUAUUUUUCAAGGAUCACUCUCAUUGCAAUCAAAGCUAGUACUCCACAUUCGAGACCAAGGUAACUGAAAGUUUAGAAAGCCGGUGGCGAGUGGAACUUUGGAUGCUUGUGUGUGUGAACUCGCUGAGGGCCAUAUAACUGCGGGCGGUCUAGGGCGCUCUAUUUAUUUAUUUACGUUAUUAAACUUAUGUCGCAAUUAUUUUAGUUAUUAAUUAUUAUGUCUUUGGUAAGAAAACUGGCCAGUUGUGAACAUUUUCAAGUAUUAAAUAAAAAUGCGACAUUAUGAUUUUCCGCGUUUAACGCUUGUAAACAAAAUUAAUAUUUUUAUAAAAGUACGGGCGUUACAGUUUGGUAUCAGAGCCACAGUUAUAUCGGUCCCGAACGUUCUCACGAGUUACACACAUCAGCCAAAAAGUUUCCGCUUGCCACCAAGUAAGUCCAUUAUAUAUGCUUGCAUUUUAUGUGUAUUUUUUUUUUUU
Cannabis sativa is the source of this 1524-nucleotide long non-coding RNA. RefSeq lists it as uncharacterized. The transcript has 3 exons. Lineage: Eukaryota; Viridiplantae; Streptophyta; Magnoliopsida; Rosales; Cannabaceae. The record is from RefSeq and is a predicted model, not a curated record.